GCUGGGCAUGGUGGCGGGUGCCUGGAAUCCCAGCUACUCAGGAGGCUGAGGCGGGAGAAUUGCUUGAACUCGGGAGGUGGAGGUUGCAGUGAGCCAAGAUCGUGCCACUGCACUCUAGCCUGGGUGACAGAGCAAGACUCCGUCUCGC
RNAcentral lists this non-coding RNA (148 nucleotides) under Pan paniscus (pygmy chimpanzee). RNAcentral also lists the same sequence under 1 other name. Lineage: Eukaryota; Metazoa; Chordata; Mammalia; Primates; Hominidae. The record is from Rfam by way of RNAcentral.